Molecule: long non-coding RNA, 1638 nt
Organism: Mesocricetus auratus (golden hamster)
Lineage: Eukaryota; Metazoa; Chordata; Mammalia; Rodentia; Cricetidae
Exons: 2
Source: RefSeq, a predicted model, not a curated record
GGACGCUUCACAGCCCAGGACGCCACAGCCCUGAGGAGAGUGAAAGAAAUGAUUGGGGCAGGAGUCAUGAGGCACAUGAUCGUCCUCUUCACCCACAAGGAAGACCUGGCAAAUGAGACCUUGCAUGAGUUUGUGACCCACACUGACAACCACAGCCUGAGCAGCCUGGUCCCUUAUCCUUUACCACAGCAUCUUAAAAACAUGGUCAGAAAACCAUGACAUUCUGCUAUGAGGAUAAACCACUGUGCAAGUGUCAUGGGGGUCAUGUCCAGGAACAGUCUUCAGUUCUUAUAACUUCAUUCUGGUUUCUUUGACUGAUUUUUAAUGUAUUACUUUAUCUAAAGUACAAAAAGCAAAUGCUUUAUGUGAAACGAUCAACCUGAGUGGUACCCUAACAUCCAUCUCCACCUUUAAAAUGAAAGCCAUUUCCCUCCCAUCCACACUGUGAAUAGAAAAAGGAAAAUAAUGGGAAAGAAAUACGAUUAAAACUCUAGGGGAUGGGGACAUUGGACAGCCUGUCCAGCCAAUUGGUGAGCACCAGAUUCAGUGAGACUUUGUUUUAAUACAUACUAUAGAGAGACUGGGGAGAUGUCUCUUAGUCACACCUGAGGAGUAGAGUUUGUAUUCUCAGAACCCACGUCAGAAAUGAGUAUGAGUGGGUUCAUCUCUAACCCUGGCAUUGGAGGGGUGAAGUGGCAGAGAGGCAGGCAAAUCCCUGGAGCUCAUCUAGAUCCCUCUAGCCAAUCUAACCCGUUGGCGAGUGCAGUCAACCAAGUGAGAUUCUGUGUCCAAAACUCAGGCAAGAGUGAUAGAAGAAGACAUGAGAUGUCCCCUUGCUCUCCUACAGUGAUAGAGGAAGAUAUGAGAUGUCUCCUUGCUCUCCUACAGUGAUAGAGGAAGAUAUGAGAUGUCCCCUUGCUCUCCUACUGUGAUAGAGGAAGAUAUGAGAUGUCCCUUUGCUUUCCUACUGUGAUAGAGGAAGAUAUGAGAUGUCCCUUUGCUGUCCUGCAGUGAGGACCCAAGGCUAUGGAUUCAGGGCAGUUCUUACCCACGGAUGGGCUCCUGAACCUGACUGGAGGCUGGGGUUCCUUCUGGAUGACCGGUAGUGUGGACUUCAAAUCACUGAUGAGGUAUUUUCUGGUUGGUUCCUGAAAGCCCUAUGUUUUAUGGGUGUAAAUACCAUCUGCCCCAGAUCCUGCCCAUCCAGUCUUCUACAGCUCCCUGUCUUCCUCUCAGUCAGAGCCUGUGGCUGUUUGCAACUCUUUCUUGGUCAGUGUUCACUGCAGAAUUCUGGUGCUUGGUCAGUGUUCACUGCAGAAUUCUGGUGCUGGCCUUCAAAGCAAAGAUAUAUCCUGCUGCAAAGGAGCUGUCUACAGUGUGGAACCCAAACCAGGCCCCAGCAGUCACAGGGAAAAAACAGCACAAAUCUCUUCUAUGAGAGCCUGGAGCUCAAAACUGUAGCUCUAUGCCAUGGAAACAGUCCUUGCCCCCAACCACGCUGUUGUAGGUGUUUCUUUGGCAAUGUGUCCUUACAUGUUUAACAUAAGAUUUCUAGACAAAUCUCACAGGAACUGAAGAUUUAUCCCCUUCCUAAUACACACAUGCCUGAGAAAUAAUAAAGAAACAUUGGAUCUGGGA